CAUGCAAGUCGAACGCACAGCGAAAGGUGCUUGCACCUUUCAAGUGAGUGGCGAACGGGUGAGUAACACGUGGACAACCUGCCUCAAGGCUGGGGAUAACAUUUGGAAACAGAUGCUAAUACCGAAUAAAACUUAGUGUCGCAUGACACAAAGUUAAAAGGCGCUUCGGCGUCACCUAGAGAUGGAUCCGCGGUGCAUUAGUUAGUUGGUGGGGUAAAGGCCUACCAAGACAAUGAUGCAUAGCCGAGUUGAGAGACUGAUCGGCCACAUUGGGACUGAGACACGGCCCAAACUCCUACGGGAGGCUGCAGUAGGGAAUCUUCCACAAUGGGCGAAAGCCUGAUGGAGCAACGCCGCGUGUGUGAUGAAGGCUUUCGGGUCGUAAAGCACUGUUGUAUGGGAAGAACAGCUAGAAUAGGAAAUGAUUUUAGUUUGACGGUACCAUACCAGAAAGGGACGGCUAAAUACGUGCCAGCAGCCGCGGUAAUACGUAUGUCCCGAGCGUUAUCCGGAUUUAUUGGGCGUAAAGCGAGCGCAGACGGUUUAUUAAGUCUGAUGUGAAAGCCCGGAGCUCAACUCCGGAAUGGC
This 588-nucleotide ribosomal RNA is filed under the name Leuconostoc mesenteroides. Its description in RNAcentral is "bacterial SSU rRNA". It matches the Rfam family "Bacterial small subunit ribosomal RNA", at positions 54 to 624 of the family's 1533-position model. The record is from RNAcentral. Lineage: Bacteria; Bacillati; Bacillota; Bacilli; Lactobacillales; Lactobacillaceae.